This is a long non-coding RNA of Aedes albopictus (Asian tiger mosquito), 425 nucleotides long. RefSeq lists it as uncharacterized. The transcript has 3 exons. Lineage: Eukaryota; Metazoa; Arthropoda; Insecta; Diptera; Culicidae. The record is from RefSeq and is a predicted model, not a curated record.
UAGUACACAAACCAACGAUAACAACAUCCCCACACAACCAACACUAGUCAACCCAACCACCCAACAACCUCCCAUACGUCACAACCCACAGUAAUCUCCCUUUCUUCGACGGUGAAACAUCCGAAAAAGGUUCAAAGCGUAACAAAAUUCCGGACGUCGAACAGUGUGUAAAAUCCCCAUUAAUUAACUUUCCCGUUAACCUAGCAGGGGUACAAAAAUUGUUAAUGAGGCCAUUUCACCAAAAUCCCGACAUACAUCCGUGUAAAAACGGCACUUCACAAGUUGUUUAACUUCGAGCCCUGAAGAAGAUCCAAACCCGAGGAUCGAAACGUCGGCGAUGAAUUAAAAUAAUCAACGCUUAUUUCUGUGACUGCAAGCCGAAACCAUUAGAAGUUCCACCAAAAUCAGUCAUCCUAUCAACAGAU